Molecule: ribosomal RNA, 440 nt
Filed under: uncultured prokaryote
Description: bacterial SSU rRNA
Rfam family: Bacterial small subunit ribosomal RNA
Source: RNAcentral
CCUACGGGGGCAGCAGUCUAGAGGCUUCGUCAAUGCCCGAAAGGGUGAACGAGCGACGCCGCGUGCGGGAUGAAGGGCUUCGGCUUGUAAACCGCUUUUCUUUGGGAAGAAGGUCCGGGUCGUGCACUUGGGCUUGACGGUACCAGAGGAAUAAGCCCCGGCUAACUCCGUGCCAGCAGCCGCGGUAAGACGGAGGGGGCAAGCGUUGUUCGGAAUUAUUGGGCGUAAAGGGCUCGUAGGCGGAUCGGCGGGUCUGGCGUGAAAUCUCCACUGCUUAACCGGGAGGGGCCGCUGGAAACUACCGAUCUGGAGUAUGGUAGAGGACCAUGGAAUUCCGCAUGUAGCGGUGGAAUGCGUAGAUAUGCGGAAGAACACCGGUGGCGAAGGCGGUGGUCUGGGCCAUAACUGACGCUGAGGAGCGAAAGCCAGGGGAGCAAACG